Molecule: transfer RNA, 67 nt
Filed under: Marmota monax (woodchuck)
Lineage: Eukaryota; Metazoa; Chordata; Mammalia; Rodentia; Sciuridae
Description: tRNA.Ala
Source: RNAcentral
GGUUCUAGCUCAGAGGUAGAGUACUCACCUAGCAUGUGCAAGGCCCUGGGUUCAAUCCUCAGCACCA